Molecule: long non-coding RNA, 777 nt
Organism: Hippocampus comes (tiger tail seahorse)
Lineage: Eukaryota; Metazoa; Chordata; Actinopteri; Syngnathiformes; Syngnathidae
Exons: 2
Source: RefSeq, a predicted model, not a curated record
UUGUAGUUAUUUAUUUAUAUCAUUUAGAUUUAUAGUCAUAGAAGUAUGACAAACACAUUCACAAAUUUGUAUCCUCUCCUUUGACUUGAAUAUUCUUUUUUUAAAGAAAAGCAAUUAGAGACGAUCCACCGACCGGCUUGAUUGGUCUAUGCAUUUGAAACCUGCACACAGAUGCGCCGUCGCCAUGUACAAUGUGACAACACUUCUGACGUGAGCUCUCUUCCCCUUGUCUCAGCAGGGUGUCACUUCAUCAAUUAUUGAAGCUCUACUUCACGUCAUUUCCUGAAAAUCCUCCAGGAUGGGGAUCUGUUCCAUCACGGGGAGGGAGGAAGUGAUCAAAUAAUCACAAUAAUUAAUACAGUAGACAUCGGCUGUUAUGUGAGGUCAUCUUGUUCAAGUGGACCACGAAUACGCUGAGAUGAUCACAUUUAAUGGGCUUUAUUAAGAGGCAAGAAGAAGAUUCCUCCAAGUAAAUGAAUGAUAAACAUCGGGUGCGAUGCUCUGCGGGCUUUCAAGAUGAGCUGCUAAAUAAUGGAUAAGAACAGAUGGCUGCAGUGAGAGCAACAUGAGCGCCUACAUGUUAAAUUGUUUUAAAGAACAUGUCACAACAGCAGCCGAGCUGUGUUGGCUGUCUGUCGGUCAUCGCGCUAACAAAAGAGAGAGACACCCGGGCUGCUUUUCACUUCCCCUCGACUGGCACGUGGACACAGUUCCGCUGAUGACGGCUGAUUGGAUAUUACUGUCUUUGAUUAAAGUGCACGUUCACUUCAAGAUCAA